RNAcentral lists this ribosomal RNA (475 nucleotides) under uncultured bacterium. RNAcentral's name for it is "bacterial SSU rRNA". It matches the Rfam family "Bacterial small subunit ribosomal RNA", at positions 29 to 507 of the family's 1533-position model. The record is from RNAcentral.
AACGAACGCUGGCGGCAGGCCUAACACAUGCAAGUCGAGCGGUAACAUUUCUAGCUUGCUAGAAGAUGACGAGCGGCGGACGGGUGAGUAACGCGUGAGAAUCUACCCAUGAGUGGGGGACAACCCGGGGAAACUCGGGCUAAUACCGCAUACGCCCUUCGGGGGAAAGAUUUAUCGGAGAAGGAUCGGCCCGCGUUAGAUUAGAUAGUUGGUGGGGUAACGGCCUACCAAGUCUACGAUCUAUAGCUGGUUUUAGAGGAUGAUCAGCAACACUGGGACUGAGACACGGCCCAGACUCCUACGGGAGGCAGCAGUGGGGAAUCUUAGACAAUGGGCGCAAGCCUGAUCUAGCCAUGCCGCGUGUGUGAUGAAGGUCUUAGGAUCGUAAACCUCUGUCGGAAGGGAAGAAAGGUCUCUGUUCAAAUAGGGCAGGGGCUUGACGGUACCUUCAAAGGAAGUACCGGCUAACUCCGUG